CAGUAUUUCUGUUUUAAAUCCAGCAAAGGAGCUUACUCUACAGGAACAGUCUUGAGAUGAUCUUUGUUGUUACCUGUGAGCAGUGACGGACAACAGCUGUGUUCGUGGACCAAGCGAUCUUAUCUGUCAGGUGUUUGGACCUCCGGAAAAGUUGCCCAACCGAGCUUUUGGUGUUUGGGCAGUCCUUCCCCUAUGAUGGAAAAUGGCAUAAAGGCUGAGUCAGCAUUAGCGUUUCAAUGCGAUUGAAGCCUGGAUUGAAGUUUGGAAAAAAUUUUCA
RNAcentral lists this long non-coding RNA (277 nucleotides) under Canis lupus dingo (dingo). Its description in RNAcentral is "lncRNA (ENSCAFG00020001146.1)". Lineage: Eukaryota; Metazoa; Chordata; Mammalia; Carnivora; Canidae. The record is from RNAcentral.